This 70-nucleotide transfer RNA is filed under the name uncultured Eubacterium sp. It matches the Rfam family "tRNA". Rfam says of the family: Transfer RNA (tRNA) molecules are approximately 80 nucleotides in length. Their secondary structure includes four short double-helical elements and three loops (D, anti-codon, and T loops). Further hydrogen bonds mediate the characteristic L-shaped molecular structure. tRNAs have two regions of fundamental functional importance: the anti-codon, which is responsible for specific mRNA codon recognition, and the 3' end, to which the tRNAs corresponding amino acid is attached (by aminoacyl-tRNA synthetases). tRNAs cope with the degeneracy of the genetic code in two manners: having more than one tRNA (with a specific anti-codon) for a particular amino acid; and 'wobble' base-pairing, i.e. permitting non-standard base-pairing at the 3rd anti-codon position. Lineage: Bacteria; Bacillati; Bacillota; Clostridia; Eubacteriales; Eubacteriaceae. The record is from RNAcentral.
GCUUGUAGCUCAGUUGGGAGAGCGUUGCAUUCGCAUUGCAGAGGUCGAGGGUUCGACUCCCUUCAAGUCC